This 286-nucleotide ribosomal RNA is filed under the name Salmonella enterica. Its description in RNAcentral is "partial 16S ribosomal RNA". It matches the Rfam family "Bacterial small subunit ribosomal RNA", at positions 1 to 285 of the family's 1533-position model. Lineage: Bacteria; Pseudomonadati; Pseudomonadota; Gammaproteobacteria; Enterobacterales; Enterobacteriaceae. The record is from RNAcentral.
AAAUUGAAGAGUUUGAUCAUGGCUCAGAUUGAACGCUGGCGGCAGGCCUAACACAUGCAAGUCGAACGGUAGCACAGAGAGCUUGCUCUCGGGUGACGAGUGGCGGACGGGUGAGUAAUGUCUGGGAAACUGCCUGAUGGAGGGGGAUAACUACUGGAAACGGUGGCUAAUACCGCAUAACGUCGCAAGACCAAAGAGGGGGACCUUCGGGCCUCUUGCCAUCAGAUGUGCCCAGAUGGGAUUAGCUUGUUGGUGAGGUAACGGCUCACCAAGGCGACGAUCCCUA